UAUCAGUCCAACCGUCUAUGUCU
Molecule: non-coding RNA, 23 nt
Filed under: Arabidopsis thaliana (thale cress)
Lineage: Eukaryota; Viridiplantae; Streptophyta; Magnoliopsida; Brassicales; Brassicaceae
Source: RNAcentral